RNAcentral lists this ribosomal RNA (454 nucleotides) under uncultured Prevotella sp. Its description in RNAcentral is "partial 16S ribosomal RNA". It matches the Rfam family "Bacterial small subunit ribosomal RNA", at positions 341 to 792 of the family's 1533-position model. Lineage: Bacteria; Pseudomonadati; Bacteroidota; Bacteroidia; Bacteroidales; Prevotellaceae. The record is from RNAcentral.
ACGGGAGGCAGCAGUGAGGAAUAUUGGUCAAUGGACGAGAGUCUGAACCAGCCAAGUAGCGUGCAGGAUGACGGCCCUAUGGGUUGUAAACUGCUUUUGUACGGGAAUAAAGUGACCUACGUGUAGGUUUUUGCAUGUACCGUAAGAAUAAGGACCGGCUAAUUCCGUGCCAGCAGCCGCGGUAAUACGGAAGGUCCGGGCGUUAUCCGGAUUUAUUGGGUUUAAAGGGAGCGCAGGCGGUCUGUUAAGCGUGUGGUGAAAUGUAGGCGCUCAACGUCUAACGUGCCACGCGAACUGGCGGACUUGAGUGCGGUGAACGCUGGCGGAAUUCGUGGUGUAGCGGUGAAAUGCUUAGAUAUCACGAAGAACUCCGAUUGCGAAGGCAGCUGGCGGUACCGUUACUGACGCUCAUGCUCGAAAGUGUGGGUAUCGAACAGGAUUAGAUACCCUGGUA